UACGAAGGGGGCUAGCGUUGUUCGGAAUUACUGGGCGUAAAGCGCACGUAGGCGGACUAUUAAGUCAGGGGUGAAAUCCUGGAGCUCAACUCCAGAACUGCCUUUGAUACUGGGGAGUUCGAGUCCGGAAGAGGUGAGUGGAACUCCGAGUGUAGAGGUGAAAUUCGUAGAUAUUCGGAAGAACACCAGUGGCGAAGGCGGCUCACUGGUCCGGUACUGACGCUGAGGUGCGAAAGCGUGGGGAGCAAACAGG
This 253-nucleotide ribosomal RNA is filed under the name uncultured bacterium. RNAcentral describes it as "partial 16S ribosomal RNA". It matches the Rfam family "Bacterial small subunit ribosomal RNA", at positions 524 to 776 of the family's 1533-position model. The record is from RNAcentral.